AGGACGAACGCUGGCGGCGUGCUUAACACAUGCAAGUCGAGCGGUAAGGCCCUUCGGGGUACACGAGCGGCGAACGGGUGAGUAACACGUGGGUGAUCUGCCCUGCACUCUGGGAUAAGCCUGGGAAACUGGGUCUAAUACUGGAUAUGACCUGUCCUCGCAUGGGGGUGGGUGGAAAGAUUUAUCGGUGCAGGAUGGGCCCGCGGCCUAUCAGCUUGUUGGUGGGGUAAUGGCCCACCAAGGCGACGACGGGUAGCCGACCUGAGAGGGUGACCGGCCACACUGGGGACUGAGACACGGCCCAGACUCCUACGGGAGGCAGCAGUGGGGAAUAUGCACAAUGGGCGAAAGGCCUGAAUGCAGCGACGCCGCGUGAGGAUGAAAGGCCGUUUCGGGUUGUAAAACCGUCUUUCGAGCGAGGACGAAGCGAGAGUGACGUACCAGCAAGAAGAAGCAACCGGACUAAACUACGUACGCCGACGCGAACGCCGAC
This 493-nucleotide ribosomal RNA is filed under the name uncultured soil bacterium. Its description in RNAcentral is "bacterial SSU rRNA". It matches the Rfam family "Bacterial small subunit ribosomal RNA", at positions 26 to 529 of the family's 1533-position model. The record is from RNAcentral.